RNAcentral lists this ribosomal RNA (415 nucleotides) under uncultured prokaryote. Its description in RNAcentral is "bacterial SSU rRNA". It matches the Rfam family "Bacterial small subunit ribosomal RNA", at positions 505 to 918 of the family's 1533-position model. The record is from RNAcentral.
GUGUCAGCAGCCGCGGUAAUACGAAUGGGGCAAGCGUUGUUCGGAUUUACUGGGCGUAAAGCGGGCGUAGGCGGCCGGCUAAGUCGGAUGUGAAAUCCCGGGGCUCAACUCCGGAACUGCAUUCGAUACUGGUCGGCUAGAGUUCGAGAGGGGGAUGCGGAAUUCCGCGUGUAGCAGUGAAAUGCGUAGAUAUGCGGAGGAACACCUGAGGCGAAGGCGGCAUCCUGGAUCGACACUGACGCUGAGGCCCGAAAGCGUGGGGAGCAAACAGGAUUAGAUACCCUGGUAGUCCACGCCCUAAACGAUGUCUACUAGCCGUUGCGGGUAUCGACCCCUGCAGUGGCGCAGCUAACGCGAUAAGUAGACCGCCUGGGGAGUACGGCCGCAAGGUUAAAACUUAAAUGAAUUGACGGGG